RNAcentral lists this ribosomal RNA (381 nucleotides) under uncultured microorganism. RNAcentral's name for it is "bacterial SSU rRNA". It matches the Rfam family "Archaeal small subunit ribosomal RNA", at positions 330 to 712 of the family's 1478-position model. The record is from RNAcentral.
GUGCAGCAGUCGAGAAACCUCCGCAAUACACGAAAGUGUGACGGGGCCAUCCCGAGUGCCGUCCGCUGAGGACGGCUUUUCCCCAGUGUACAUAGCUGGGGGAAUAAGGAGAGGGCAAGCCUGGUGUCAGCCGCCGCGGUAAUACCAGCUCUCCGAGUGGUGGGGACGCUUAUUGGGCCUAAAGCAUCCGUAGCCGGCUAGGCAAGUCCUCCGUUAAAUCCAACGAUUCAAUCGUUGGGCUGCGGGGGAUACUGUCUAGCUUGGGGGCGGGAGAGGCCGACGGUAUUCCCCGGGGUAGGGGUGAAAUCCUAUAAUCCCGGGAGGACCACCGGUGGCGAAGGCUGUCGGCUAGAACGCGCCCGACGGUGAGGGAUGAAAGCU